RNAcentral lists this ribosomal RNA (253 nucleotides) under uncultured bacterium. RNAcentral's name for it is "partial 16S ribosomal RNA". It matches the Rfam family "Bacterial small subunit ribosomal RNA", at positions 524 to 776 of the family's 1533-position model. The record is from RNAcentral.
UACGUAGGGGGCAAGCGUUGUCCGGAUUUACUGGGCGUAAAGAGCGCGCAGGCGGUCGUUCAAGUCGCGUGUGAAAGCCCCCGGCUCAACUGGGGAGGGUCACGCGAUACUGAUCGACUCGAAGGCAGGAGAGGGUAGUGGAAUUCCCGGUGUAGUGGUGAAAUGCGCAGAUAUCAGGAGGAACACCGGUGGCGAAGGCGGGUCUCUGGGCCGAUACUGACGCUGAGGAGCGAAAGCGUGGGGAGCGAACAGG